AGGAUAAACGCUGGCGGCGUGCAUGAGACAUGCAAGUCAAACGGGCCUUCAGGGCUUGCUCUGGAGGCCAGUGGCGGACGGCUGAGUAACGCGUAGGUGACCUGCCCCGAAGUGGGGAAUAACUGCCCGAAAGGGUGGCUAAUACCGCAUGUGGUGAUGCGUUCAUUCGCAUCAGUAAAGCCGCAAGGCGCUUCGGGAGGGGCCUGCGUCCGAUUAGCUCGUUGGUGGGGUAACGGCUCACCAAGGCGACGAUCGGUAGGUGGUCUGAGAGGACGAUCACCCAGACUGGGACUGAGACACGGCCCAGACUCCUACGGGAGGCAGCAGUCGGGAAUUUUGCGCAAUGGACGAAAGUCUGACGCAGCAACGCCGCGUGAGGGAUGAAGGCCUUCGGGUUGUAAACCUCUUUUCUCUAGGGAAGAUAGUGACGGUACCUGAGGAAUAAGUCACGGCUAACUACGUGCCAGCAGCCGCGGU
RNAcentral lists this ribosomal RNA (477 nucleotides) under uncultured bacterium. Its description in RNAcentral is "SSU rRNA". It matches the Rfam family "Bacterial small subunit ribosomal RNA", at positions 26 to 521 of the family's 1533-position model. The record is from RNAcentral.